RNAcentral lists this long non-coding RNA (985 nucleotides) under Lathyrus oleraceus (garden pea). RNAcentral describes it as "Pisum sativum (pea) long non-coding RNA (PSAT_LNC022644)". Lineage: Eukaryota; Viridiplantae; Streptophyta; Magnoliopsida; Fabales; Fabaceae. The record is from RNAcentral.
CAGCAAGAUCAGCGUCAUCCAUCGAGGUUCAAGUGGUUUUUUCAAUUUGAUUAUCUCUGUUUACCAUGUUCUAAUUUAUUUUUCAUUUGCUGUUUGUGCGUAUCAUGUCGGCAUUUUUCGUUUCAUUCUUUUAGUGUUUGAUAUGUAUGUCACUGGUUUAAGAGUGUUGUUGUUGUUUUCAACAUGUUAUGAUUCUCGAAUGUACAGGUUUCGGUUUUGCUCAGUUUCAUAUUAAUCUUGAUAGGGGCUUCUGUUGAGCUAAGGUGGUGAUAUUUAUUUGGGUCAAUUCAGAUUGGGUUAGUGUUUGUAUUGAUGUGCGUAUUUCGGUUAUCUAUUGCGGUCUAAUUAUUCCAUGUUUGCACUGGAUUUUGAUGCUAUAAUAAUGAUGGUGUGACACUUAUGCAAUGUUGAGAAUAUAUUCUGUGUUGAUGCUAGUUUGACUUGCAUGUAAAUUACAAUCACUCUCUUGUGUUAACACCAUCUUAAAUUUAUAACAUGCUUAUAUAUUGGUAUGCUUAGACUUUACGUUUGACAGUUUUGUUAUGAAUCUUCAUAUGUCGUCAUUUUUCAUACUAAGAAAAUAGUACACUCACUUUUUCAGCUAGAAACCUCCUUUGAGUUUAAUAUUAGUCAUGGCAUGAGAAAAUGUUAUUGAUAUAAGUUAUUUAGGACUUGUUUGGUUUGAGAUAAUGUUUCUUGUGUUUACCAAUAAUUACAAGUUUCUACAAAAUUAUUACUUCAUUGUUUUCAAAAAUAAUUAAAAGGCUUUCAUUGUUUCAUAUACAAACACCAGUAUUUGAAAUAGGGAGUGCAAUGAAAAUAAGGUGGUUACUUUUGUAAGUGUUAAUGAAAACUAGAAAUGAACAUAAGGAAUUUUAACUGUAAUAAAAUAUGUUGAAGUUAGCCAUGAAUAUUCUAAUAAGUAAACUCACAUGUUAUAGUUAGGGCCAAUUGCAUUAUGUUGUUUUUCUUUUUGACUGAAAAA